This 252-nucleotide ribosomal RNA is filed under the name uncultured bacterium. RNAcentral's name for it is "partial 16S ribosomal RNA". It matches the Rfam family "Bacterial small subunit ribosomal RNA", at positions 524 to 776 of the family's 1533-position model. The record is from RNAcentral.
UACGUAGGGUGCAAGCGUUGUCCGGAAUUAUUGGGCGUAAAGAGCUCGUAGGCGGUUUGUCGCGUCUGCUGUGAAAACCCGAGGCUCAACCUCGGGCCUGCAGUGGGUACGGGCAGACUAGAGUGCGGGUAGGGGAGAUUUGGAAUCCUGGUGUAGCGGUGGAAUGCGCAGAUAUCAGGAGGAACACCAAUGGCGAAGGCAGACUCUGGGCCGUAACUGACGCUGAGGAGCGAAAGCAUGGGAGCGAACAGG